RNAcentral lists this unclassified non-coding RNA (229 nucleotides) under uncultured fungus. RNAcentral describes it as "sequence contains ITS2". The record is from RNAcentral. Lineage: Eukaryota; Fungi.
AACGCACAUUGCGCCUAAGAGUAUUCUUUUAGGCAUGCCUGUUCGAGCGUCGUUUAAACCCUAAAGCAUUGCUUUUUGUUGGCAUCUCGGAUGUUGUUCGAGUGCCCAAAUACAUUGGCGAUUGAAGUAGCCGAAAGCGCAGCGAAAUGCGAAUUGAAAGCUACGGAAAGUCCGCCAGUUAACCACAAAACUCGACCUCGGAUCAAGCAAGAUUACCCGCUGAACUUAA